GCUGGCACUAUUAUUAUCCUCAGCUUAUAUAUGAGAAAACUGAGGCACUGUUAUUCAGUAAGUUGCCCAACUUCACAUCACCAGUAAGUAGAAGAGGAGCCAAGAAUGGAAUUCAUGCUGUCUACUUCCAGAUCCUGUCAGGAUCCCUCACUCUAGGGGAAGCCAGCUGCCAUGUGGUGAGGAUGCUCAUGCAGCCCUGUGGAGGGGUCCUUGUGAUGAGUGACUGAGGCCUCCUGCCAACAGCCAUGUGAGUGAGCUGUCUUCGAAGCAGAUGCUUCAGCUUCAGUUAGACCUUCAUGUGUCUACAGCUCUGCCUGAUAACUACAAUCCUAUGAGAGACCCUGAGCCAGAGCCACACAGCUAAGCUGCUUCCAGAUUCCCUACCCUCUGAAACUGCACAACUCAUUGUCUGAGCGAAGAACAGAAGCCCUCAGGCAACCUACAUGCAGAGGCGGGCCGAAUCCAAAGCUGAACCCCAGGAGCUGUGUGAACAAAGAAGAAAAAGGGAAAUUUCUCCCAGCAGCCUCAGGAGCAGCAGAUUAAGUCUCCACAAUCAACUUGAUGUACCCUGCAUCUGAGGAAUACCUGAACAGACAACGAAUCAUCCCAAA
Non-coding RNA from Kogia breviceps (pygmy sperm whale), 611 nucleotides. The record is from RefSeq and is a predicted model, not a curated record. NCBI's taxonomy places the organism in Eukaryota, Metazoa, Chordata, Mammalia, Artiodactyla, Physeteridae.